This 245-nucleotide ribosomal RNA is filed under the name uncultured bacterium. Its description in RNAcentral is "partial 16S ribosomal RNA". It matches the Rfam family "Bacterial small subunit ribosomal RNA", at positions 15 to 252 of the family's 1533-position model. The record is from RNAcentral.
GAUCCUGGCUCAGGACGAACGCUGGCGGCGUGCCUAAUACAUGCAAGUAGAACGCUGAAGGAGGAGCUUGCUCUUCUGGAAGAGUUGCGAACGGGUGAGUAACGCGUAGGUAACCUACCUUUUAGCGGGGGAUAACUAUUGGAAACGAUAGCUAAUACCGCAUAACACAUUUUACUGCAUGGUAAGAUGUUAAAAGAUGCAAUUGUAUCACUAAGAGAUGGACCUGCGUUGUAUUAGCUAGUUGG